RNAcentral lists this ribosomal RNA (492 nucleotides) under uncultured bacterium. Its description in RNAcentral is "partial 16S ribosomal RNA". It matches the Rfam family "Bacterial small subunit ribosomal RNA", at positions 29 to 507 of the family's 1533-position model. The record is from RNAcentral.
AUUGAACGCUGGCGGCAGGCCUAACACAUGCAAGUCGAACGGUAACAGAGAAAGGCUUGCUUCUUUGCUGACGAGUGUCGGGCGGGUGAGUAGUAUCCGGGGAACUGCACGUUGGAGGGGGGUAUAUAGUGGGGAAGGUAGCUAUAAUCCCACAUCCUACCAACGGCUAAAAGCAGGAGCUUAUCGGACCUUGCGCGCGGGAAUGCGCCGAUGGCGGAUUAGCUAGUAGGCGGGGUAAGGGCCCACCGAGGCGACGAUCCGUAGCUGGUCUGAGAGGAUGACCAGCCACACUGGAACUGAGACACGGUCCAGACUCCUACGGGAGGCAGCAGUGGGGAAUAUUGGACAAUGGGCGCAAGCCUGAUGCAGCCAUGCCGCGUGGAUGAAGAAGGCCUUCGGGUUGUAAAGUCCUUUUGGCGGGGAGGAAGGGAGUAAGGUUAAUACCCUUCCGCACUGACGGUACCCGAAGAAGAAGCACCGGCUAACUUCGUG